This 468-nucleotide ribosomal RNA is filed under the name uncultured bacterium. RNAcentral's name for it is "partial 16S ribosomal RNA". It matches the Rfam family "Bacterial small subunit ribosomal RNA", at positions 28 to 507 of the family's 1533-position model. The record is from RNAcentral.
GACGAACGCUGGCGGCGUGCUUAACACAUGCAAGUCGAACGGAAAGGCCCUGCGUUUGCUGGGUGCACGAUUGGCGAACGGGUGAGUAACACGUGUGUAACCUGCCCUUGUCUUUGGGAUAAAUUUUGGAAACUGGGGCUAAUAUCGCGUAGGAGCUCCUGCUGCACGGGGGUGGUUGGAAAGAUUCGGCGGUGGUGGCUCGUCUGGCGGCUUAUGAGCUUGUUUGUGUAGUAGGUGCUUACCAAGGCUUUGACGGGUAGGCUGCCUGAGAGGGUUAACGGCCACCUUGCGACUGAGAUACGGCGCAGACGGCUGCGGGAGGCAGCAGUGGAGAAUAUUGCGCAAUGGGCGGAAGCCUGAUACAGCAACGCCGCGUGCGGGAUGACGGCCUACGGGUUGUAAACCGAUUUCGCCUGUGACGAAGCGUGAGUGACGGUAAUGGGUAAAGAAGCACCGGCUAACUACGUG